This 328-nucleotide ribosomal RNA is filed under the name uncultured eukaryote. Its description in RNAcentral is "partial 18S ribosomal RNA". It matches the Rfam family "Eukaryotic small subunit ribosomal RNA", at positions 1470 to 1796 of the family's 1831-position model. The record is from RNAcentral.
CCCUUAGAUGUCCUGGGCCGCACGCGCGUUACACUGAUGCAUUCAACGAGCUUAUAACCUUGGCCGAGAGGCCUGGGCAAUCUUGUUAACGUGCAUCGUGAUAGGGAUAGAUUAUUGAAAUUAUAAAUCUUGAACGAGGAAUUCCUAGUAAACGCAGAUCAUCAAUCUGCAUUGAUUACGUCCCUGCCCUUUGUACACACCGCCCGUCGCACCUACCGAUUGGAUGGUCCGGUGAAGCCUCGGGAUUGUGGUUCUUGCCGCUUUAUUGUGGCGUGACCGCGAGAACUUGUCUAAACCUUAUCAUCUAGAGGAAGGUGAAGUCGUAACA